UACAGGGGGGGCAAGCGUUGUUCGGAAUUACUGGGCGUAAAGGGUCUGUAGGUGGCCAACUAAGUCAGCCGUGAAAUCCCUCAGCUUAACUGGGGAACUGCGUCUGAUACUGGAUGGCUCGAGUAUGGGAGAGGGCAGUGGAAUUCCCGGUGUAGCGGUGAAAUGCGUAGAUAUCGGGAGGAACAUCAGUGGCGAAGGCGACUACCUGGCCUGUUCUUGACGCUGAGGCGCGAAAGCUAGGGGAGCAAACGGG
Molecule: ribosomal RNA, 253 nt
Filed under: uncultured bacterium
Lineage: Bacteria
Description: partial 16S ribosomal RNA
Rfam family: Bacterial small subunit ribosomal RNA
Source: RNAcentral